RNAcentral lists this ribosomal RNA (250 nucleotides) under uncultured bacterium. RNAcentral describes it as "partial 16S ribosomal RNA". It matches the Rfam family "Bacterial small subunit ribosomal RNA", at positions 524 to 773 of the family's 1533-position model. The record is from RNAcentral.
UACGAGGGGUGCGAGCGUUAUUCGGAAUCAUUGGGCGUACAGGGCGCGUAGACGGCAUAUUAAGUCAACUGUUAAAUUUCCCGGCCUAACCGGGAGCCAGCAGUAGAUACUGAUGUGCUAGAGGGUGGAAGAGAGAAGUGGAAUUCUCGGAGUAGCGGUAAAAUGCGUAGAUCUCGAGAGGAACACCGAUGGCGAAGGCAGCUUCUUGGUCCAUACCUGACGUUGAGGCGCGAAAGCGUGGGGAGCAAAC